AUUACUAUAAGUAGAAAUACACUUUUAAAGCUAUUGAGCUAUUUUGUUUAGAUGGCAUAUGUCACUAUACCGGGCCUGUCUUAAUACCAUACAAGUGUUGGCUUGAGAAAGAAUUCAGGCCUGGUGCAGCAGCGGUAGCACAGAGCCUGAGGCACCAGACCAUACAGGAUGUUAAUCAGCAGAAACACCGGCUGGCUGUCGGCAGGUACUCUGUAGGAGAAAGGCGUCCGAGUGUGGAGCGAGGCACCGAUAUGAGAGAACUGGGCCUGUAUAUCAAGCAGAAGAGGAGGAAGUUAGUGAUGAAGGCUUUUCAAAAACAACCACAGCUUUCCUGGCUUCAGCCGUCCUAUUAAUAGCCCAGCCAACAGCUGACAUUUAAGAGAAUGCCACCGUUCCUCCUGCUCUGAAGUCAGUGUGUGAUGUGCCAACCUGCAGCUCCAGACACAAUAGCUGCUUUAUCCUGGAAAAGGUUCGUCUGCAAACUAACACUGCUGACAUUACUCCCACAACUUGGUGGAUAGGAACACGUUGACAAACACUACUGUGUUGAAAAACACACAUCCAAGCAGAGUGAAAAUUAAUUUUCACUGACCCUACUUUUACGUAGGUCUCCAAAUAAUCCCAAUCAAAGUGUUUUACAAAAUACUUUUAUGCUGUCUUUAAAUUAUCACAACCUAAACAUUUU
Long non-coding RNA from Cynoglossus semilaevis (tongue sole), 685 nucleotides. RefSeq lists it as uncharacterized. NCBI's taxonomy places the organism in Eukaryota, Metazoa, Chordata, Actinopteri, Pleuronectiformes, Cynoglossidae. The record is from RefSeq and is a predicted model, not a curated record. The transcript is spliced from 3 exons.